UACGGAGGGGGCAAGCGUUGUCCGGAUUUACUGGGCGUAAAGGGCGCGUAGGCGGUCUGUUAAGCGUGAUGUGAAAUCUCCAGGGCUCAACCCGGAAACUGCGUUGCGAACUGGCAGACUAGAGGAAGGUAGAGGUGAGUGGAAUUCCGAGUGUAACGGUGACAUGUGUAGAUAUUCGGAGGAACACCCAUGGCGAAGGCAGCUCACUGGGCCUUUCCUGACGCUGAGGCGCGAAAGCGUGGGUAGCAAACAGA
This 254-nucleotide ribosomal RNA is filed under the name uncultured bacterium. RNAcentral describes it as "partial 16S ribosomal RNA". It matches the Rfam family "Bacterial small subunit ribosomal RNA", at positions 524 to 776 of the family's 1533-position model. The record is from RNAcentral.